Molecule: unclassified non-coding RNA, 287 nt
Filed under: Glomeraceae sp.
Lineage: Eukaryota; Fungi; Glomeromycota; Glomeromycetes; Glomerales; Glomeraceae
Description: partial contains 5.8S ribosomal RNA and internal transcribed spacer 2
Rfam family: 5.8S ribosomal RNA (bases 1-71)
Source: RNAcentral
GUGAAUCAUCGAAUUUUUGAACGCAAAUUGCGCUUCUUGGUAUCCCGGGAAGUAUGCCUGUUUGAGGGUCAGUAUAAACAAAAAAUCGGUUUGGUUGUAAAUUGUGACGUUUUCGGAGUUUGGGCUUAUCUUAACUUUUUUGGUUAAGAGGCUUAAAAUUGACCUUUUUUGGGAAUUUUUAGAAGUCAAUAAAUUUUUUUUUAUUCGUCUAUUCUUAAUGCCAAAAUCUUAUUAGAUGCGAUUACAUCGUGUGGUUUCGUGUCCAUAAAAUUUUCUUGAUUUGACCU